GGUGUAUUCCUUGCAAAAGACUUGUUAGUAAUUUUCAAAUAUAAUAAAACUUAUCAUCUUAUUAUCAUCUUUUAUUAUUUUUGGAUUGUAUACUUCUUUAUCUGUGGAUUAUUAUUUAAAUCAUAAUACAAGCAUGUCUAAUGUUUACAUGUUGUUUAGAUCCUGCUCUACAUUAAGAAGCCUUUUUGAGAUAUCGUAAAUAUAAAUCAAAUAUUUUAUAUAUAACCACAACCAAUAUAACCUAAUUAAUAUAUAAACAAAGUGAAUAACCAUUCCUAAUGUUAGCUUGUUGUUUAUUAAUAUAUUUUCUUUACAUUUUCACUGUUAGUUUUCAUUAUGUUAAUACAGUUGUUGCAUCUUCCACAGAAUUAUGAUUUCUUUCUUUUCAUAGUGUUUUGUUGUAAUUAUACACUUUUUUUUGUUAUUUUUAGUUCAAUCUACCCAGCCUAUUUUAUUUAUCUUUAUUACUUUUUUUAUCUUUUGCAACAUCUUCAUCUGCAAUGAGUACUCUAGUUCCAUCCUCAAUUGCAUUGAGUGUUCCAUCUACAUCUGCAAUAAUUGUUACAUCUUCAGCUACUACAAGUGAUUUUCCAACUUCAUUGGUGUCAUCACCAUCUCUGCCACCUGGUGCCAAUAAUUCUGAAGAAAACCUCUAAAGUUUGUCAAGGAAUGAUUUUCUUAUAUGGUGCCUGGGUCUAAAUCAAAUCGGACUUUUUGUAUAUGGGCCCAGAAUGGAGGCAAAAACUUGCCUCAUUUUAAAUUUCAGCCUACUGGUGGCAGAAGAGAAAACCUUGUUGUUAACCACUAUAAAUACACUUAUUAAUAUGUGUAUGUAGAUACACUUAUAGGUGUAUCUAGAUACACCUAUUAGUAGAUAUAUUAGUAUAGUGUGUAUAUAGUAGAUUUAUUAGUAUAGCGUGUAUAUAUAUUUUUAGUUUAUAU
Non-coding RNA from Hydra vulgaris (swiftwater hydra), 942 nucleotides. Lineage: Eukaryota; Metazoa; Cnidaria; Hydrozoa; Anthoathecata; Hydridae. The record is from RefSeq and is a predicted model, not a curated record.